UGUUACAAUGUGAGGAGUCUCUGGUCUUC
RNAcentral lists this non-coding RNA (29 nucleotides) under Rattus norvegicus (Norway rat). Lineage: Eukaryota; Metazoa; Chordata; Mammalia; Rodentia; Muridae. The record is from RNAcentral.